AUUCCAAUCGAACUCGGAGAUAGCUGGUUCUCCCCGAAAUAGCUUUAGGGCUAGCCUCGAUUUAGAUUACCGGGGGUAGAGCACUGAAUGGGCUAGGGGGCCACAAAGCUUACCGAACCCUAUCAAACUUCGAAUACCGGAUAAUUGAUGAUCGGGAGUCAGACAGUGUGAGAUAAGUUUCAUUGUCGAAAGGGAAACAGCCCAGAUCUACGACUAAGGUCCCAAAGUUCAAGUUAAGUGGAAAAGGAUGUGCAAUUGCGUAGACAACCAGGAUGUUGGCUUAGUAGCAGCCAUUCAUUCAAAGAGUGCGUAAUAGCUCACUGGUCGAGUGAUUGUGCGCCGAAAAUGUAACGGGGCUAAACUUGACACCGAAGUCUAGGCAGAAGGAAACUUCUGGGUAGGGGAGCAACGUGUACGGGCAGAAGCAGAAGCGGAAGCGACUGUGGACUGUACAGGAGAGAGAAUGCCGGCAUGAGUAGCGAGAGCAAAGUGAGAAUCUUUGCCGUCGAAAGCCUAAGGUUUCCUGAGGAAGGCUCGUCCUCUCAGGGUAAGUCGGGACCUAAGCCGAGGACAAUAGUCGUAGGCGAUGGACAAUCGGUUAAUAUUCCGAUACCGCCGAGCAACCGGAUGCAGUGACACAGAAGGAUAGGCAGAGCGUGGCGAUGGUAGACCACGUCCAAGCAGUGAGGCUGUUGUGUAGUGAAGUACGCACAACGAAAGGCUGGGCUGUGAUGGGGAACGAUUACGAUCGGUAAGCUGCUGAAUUCACGCUGGCGAGAAAAGCUGCUACGAAGCGAAGGCGCCCGUACCGCAAACCGACACAGGUAGGCGAGGAGAGAAUCCUAAGACGAGCGGGAGAACCCUUGUUAAGGAACUCGGCAAAAUGACUCCGUAACUUAGGGAGAAGGAGUGCCCAGGAAUGGGCCGCAGAGAAUAGACCCAAGCGACUGUUUACCAAAAACACAGGUCUGUGCGAAGUAGAGAUACGACGUAUACGGGCUGACACCUGCCCAGUGCCGGAAGGUUAAGGGGAAAUGUUAGGGCAACCGAAGCAUGGAACUUAAGCCCCGGUGAACGGCGGCCGUAACUAUAACGGUCCUAAGGUAGCGAAAUUCCUUGUCGGGUAAGUUCCGACCCGCACGAAUGGUGUAACGAUUUGGGUACUGUCUCAACAAGGGACCCGGCGAAAUUGUAGUAUGUGUGAAGAUGCACAUUACCCGCGAUAGGACGGAAAGACCCCGUAGAGCUUUACUGUAGUUUAACAUUGGAUUCCGGUAACAUAUGCACAGGAUAGGUGGGAGGCGGAGAAGCAGUGAUUUCGGUUGCUGCAGAGCCGACGUUGGGAUACCACUCUUGUGUUACUGGGGUUCUAACCUGUGGCCGUGAUCCGGCACAGGAACAGUGUUAGAUGGGCAGUUUGACUGGGGCGGUCGCCUCCAAAAGAGUAACGGAGGCGUCCAAAGGUUCCCUCAGAAUGGUUGGAAACCAUUCGAAGAGUACAAAGGCAGAAGGGAGCCUGACUGCGAGACCGACAGGUCGAGCAGGGACGAAAGUCGGGCUUAGUGAUCCGGCGGUAUAGAGUGGAAUUGCCGUCGCUCAACGGAUAAAAGCUACCUCGGGGAUAACAGGCUUAUCUCCCCCAAGAGUCCACAUCGACGGGGAGGUUUGGCACCUCGAUGUCGGCUCGUCGCAUCCUGGGGCUGGAUUAGGUCCCAAGGGUUUGGCUGUUCGCCAAUUAAAGCGGCACGCGAGCUGGGUUCAGAACGUCGUGAGACAGUUCGGUCCCUAUCCAUCGUGGGCGCAGGAGAUUUGAGAAGAGCUGUCCUCAGUACGAGAGGACCGGGAUGGACGCACCAAGGGUGUAUCAGUUGUCACGCCAGUGGCACAGCUGGGUAGCCAAGUGCGGAUCGGAUAAACGCUGAAGGCAUCUAAGCGUGAAGCCGACUUCAAGAUAAGAUCUCCCAUCCGCAAGGAGUAAGGCCCCAUGUAGACCACAUGGUUGAUAGGUCGCAGGUGGAAGUGCAGUAAUGUACGCAGCUGAGCGAUACUAAUAGGCCGAGGGCUUGAUCA
Molecule: ribosomal RNA, 2070 nt
Filed under: human gut metagenome
Description: bacterial LSU rRNA
Rfam family: Bacterial large subunit ribosomal RNA
Source: RNAcentral